CCUACGGGCGGCAGCAGUGGGGAAUAUUGGACAAUGUGGGGAACCCUGAUCCAGCGACGCCGCGUGAGUGAAGAAGUAUUUCGGUAUGUAAAGCUCUAUCAGCAGGGAAGAAAGAAAUGACGGUACCUGACUAAGAAGCCCCGGCUAACUAAGUGCCAGCAGCCGCGGUAAUACGCAGGGGGCAAGCGUUAUCCGGAUUUACUGGGUGUAAAGGGUGCGUAGACGGCGAUGCAAGUCUGAAGUGAAAGGCGGGGGCCCAACCCCCGGACUGCCUUGGAAACUGUCAGGCUGGAGUGCAGGAGAGGUAAGUGGAAUUCCUGGUGUAGCGGUGAAAUGCGUAGAUAUUAGGAGGAACACCAAUUGCGAAGGCAGCUUACUGGACUCUAACUGACGUUGAGGCUCGAAAGCGUGGGGAGCAAACAGGAUUAGAUACCCGGGUAGUC
RNAcentral lists this ribosomal RNA (443 nucleotides) under uncultured bacterium. Its description in RNAcentral is "partial 16S ribosomal RNA". It matches the Rfam family "Bacterial small subunit ribosomal RNA", at positions 338 to 795 of the family's 1533-position model. The record is from RNAcentral.